Molecule: transfer RNA, 60 nt
Filed under: Cuneopsis celtiformis
Lineage: Eukaryota; Metazoa; Mollusca; Bivalvia; Unionida; Unionidae
Description: tRNA-Gly
Source: RNAcentral
UAUUGAUAGUAUAACUUAGUACAAUUGCCUUCCAAGCAAAAAGACCUAAAGGUCAAUAUA